CCCAAAUAUUUAUAAUUUUUAUACCUGAUUCCUGAACCUCAGAACCUGAUACGGUGAGAUGAGCAGUUGAGACUUGAGAGAGGCUGAGGCGGAGAGCAGAGAAUCAGAGAGAGGCUGAGGAGGCGGAGGAGCUUCAAGCUUGCUGCCUUGCUUGAGCUGUUGUCUGUUGAGCGAACAGUGGAGACUGGAGACUAGAGAGAGGCGGAGAGCAGAGAGACUAGACAGAAAGGAGUCCUUAAUGGCAGAUUCAGGUGAAAAUCAACAGCCUGAACAAGUCUGCAACUUUUUCAGAAAGCCGUCAAGGAAUAAAAACAUCAGAAAAAGAACAGUUGAUGAAGAUGAAGAGGAUGAUUCAAAAACAGAAGGCUCAUUCUUACACAGUCAAAAGAAAACCAUAAAGCCUGACAAUAAGCUGUAUUUUUCGACUGGAUCCUCUAAGAACAAAACGUCUACUGAAGCAAAGGAAGAAUCUGAAAAGCCAAUUUUUCAGUUUGAGUCUUCAAGGGAAAUUCAAGUUGAACAUGAUAGCAGAGCAACAGCAACUCUAGAAACUGAGACUGAUUUCUCAAGAGAUGCUCGUGCAUUAUGCGAGAGAUCUCUUUAGCAAGCAGAGGAGGCUUUGAAGGGGAAAGGAAAAAGCUUUGGGGAUGAAAAGUUGUAUAGAGGAAUUAAUGGAUAUACUGAUUACAAGGCUGGUUUCCGAAGAGAGCAAACGGUUGCUAGUGAGAAAGCUGGCGGAGCACAUGGGCCUUUGAGGGCUUCUGCUCACAUAAGAGUUUCAGCGAGAUUUGAUUAUCAACCGGACAUAUGUAAGGAUUACAAAGAGACUGGUUACUGUGGGUAUGGAGAUUCUUGUAAGUUUAUGCAUGAUCGAGGGGAUUACAAGUCUGGAUGGCAAAUGGAGAAGGAGUGGGAUGAAGCAGAGAAAGUAAGGAAGAGAAAUCUAGCUUUGGGAUUAGAUGAUGAGGAUGAUGGUGGUGUAGACCCUGGUGAGGAAGAUGAUGAUGAUGAUUCGUUGCCCUUUGCAUGUUUCAUUUGCAGGCAGCCUUUUGUUGAUGCUGUUGUAACCAAGUGCAAGCACUAUUUCUGUGAGCAUUGCGCAUUAAAGCAUCACGCAAAGAACAAGAAAUGCUUUGUUUGCAACAAACCUACUCUUGGCAUUUUCAAUACAGCUCAUGAGAUACGCAAAAGGAUUGCCGCAGAGGCAUUUAAAGAGGAAGUUUCCUUAUCAGUCUCUCUUUUUCCUAGAAUGUCUGGCAAAAUUCUCUUUAACUAGAGAUCUUACUGAAGGAAAGCAAUUUAAGGAGUACUAUUGUUGGUUUCUGCAGAAUUUAAUUAGUAUUGGGUAUCUGAGAUAGCAAAGCAGAUUUGCUCAGUUUCCUUUAUUAGGUGGAGACUGUUUCAUACAUUGGAUCCAAAAGGACACAGAUCAUGACAUUGAAGUUUCUUUUUUGUUUUUGUUUUCUAUGAUCCUGAUUUAUACGUCUUAACCUGAUAUGUAAGAAACUUUUAUGAUAUUUCAUAUUAGCUUUAAUAAGUAAAUAGACUUAACAUAUUAGUCA
Quercus lobata is the source of this 1562-nucleotide RNA transcript. It is a transcript of the gene named zinc finger CCCH domain-containing protein 1-like, with no coding region annotated. The transcript has 5 exons. The record is from RefSeq and is a predicted model, not a curated record. NCBI's taxonomy places the organism in Eukaryota, Viridiplantae, Streptophyta, Magnoliopsida, Fagales, Fagaceae.